GCCAGACUCCUACGGGAGGCAGCAGUGGGGAAUAUUGCACAAUGGGGGAAACCCUGAUGCAGCGACGCCGCGUGAGUGAAGAAGUAUUUCGGUAUGUAAAGCUCUGUCAGCAGGGAAGAAAGAAAUGACGGUACCUGACCAAGAAGCCCCGGCUAACUACGUGCCAGCAGCCGCGGUAAUACGUAGGGGGCAAGCGUUAUCCGGAAUUACUGGGUGUAAAGGGAGCGUAGACGGUGAUGCAAGUCUGGAGUGAAAGGCGGGGGCCCAACCCCCGGACUGCUCUGGAAACUGUAUGACAUGAGUGCAGGAGAGGUAAGCGGAAUUCCUAGUGUAGCGGUGAAAUGCGUAGAUAUUAGGAGGAACACCAGUGGCGAAGGCGGCUUACUGGACUGUAACUGACGUUGAGGCUCGAAAGCGUGGGGAGCAAACAGGAUUAGAUCCCCGUGUA
This 448-nucleotide ribosomal RNA is filed under the name uncultured bacterium. Its description in RNAcentral is "bacterial SSU rRNA". It matches the Rfam family "Bacterial small subunit ribosomal RNA", at positions 330 to 792 of the family's 1533-position model. The record is from RNAcentral.